CAGUCGCCGCGGGAAUACGAAGGGUGCAAGUGUUAAUCGGAAUUACUGGGCGUAAAGCGUGCGUAGGCGGUGAGUUAAGUCUGCUGUGAAAUCCCCGGGCUCAACCUGGGAAUGGCAGUGGAUACUGGCUCGCUAGAGUGUGUCAGAGGAUGGUGGAAUUCCCGGUGUAGCGGUGAAAUGCGUAGAGAUCGGGAGGAACAUCAGUGGCGAAGGCGGCCAUCUGGGACAACACUGACGCUGAGGCACGAAAGCGUGGGGAGCAAACAGGAUUAGAUACCCCUGUAGUCCCUGUCUCUUAUAA
Molecule: ribosomal RNA, 301 nt
Filed under: uncultured bacterium
Lineage: Bacteria
Description: partial 16S ribosomal RNA
Rfam family: Bacterial small subunit ribosomal RNA
Source: RNAcentral